Long non-coding RNA from Scleropages formosus (Asian bonytongue), 1971 nucleotides. The record is from Ensembl. NCBI's taxonomy places the organism in Eukaryota, Metazoa, Chordata, Actinopteri, Osteoglossiformes, Osteoglossidae.
CCUUCAUUUACGGUAUUCCAUGUUGACACUCAACUUCGCAGUGGUUUUACUUGUUUAUAUAGCCGUUCCAGUAUAUUUUUUACAUUUAGCAGAUGCUUUUCAAACUAAGCGACAUACAUCUCAGAGAAAUACAAUGUAUGUAUUACAUUAGGAGAAAGAGACAUAGCUGCAGAUGUGUGAUUCUACAGUUAGUCUGAUCAAGGGUAGUACAACAGGAGCGGGAUUCGAACCUGCACCCUUCAGAUUACAAGCAAGGCUUCCAUUUGCAUAUAAGUUUAUUCAUUUAGCAGACGCUUUCUCUAAAGUGACGUACAUCUCUGAAAAUACCAUUUGUGCAUUACAUUACAAGAAGGAGACAGUUGCAGGUGCAGUCGCUUCAGCGAGGAUCCAUCAGCCUGCCCUUGUUUUAGGCAUAAUACAUUAAAUACAGCAAACAACCAGUGCUGUCUUCUGCGGAAGCAUUCAGGGGCAUCGGAGAACGAGGGACAGAGCAGCACUUCCUCUCUGUCCUUCGUCUUCCUCCGUGUGCCAUCCUUCUCUACCCCGGCUGGAUCUAGACUGCGGCAUAGUGCCCCCAGCCAGGAGUCUAAUGCUUGUCGAGGAUGAGUCCCGCGAUCGAGGCGAUGCAGGCAGAGCAGCAGCACUAUUCCAGCAAAGGGGUCCUGCUUGAACCCUUUGUGCACCAGGUGGGGGGUCACUCCUGUGUGCUUCGCUUUGGGGAGCAGACUAUCUGCAAGCCCCUCAUUCCCCGGGAGCACCAGUUCUACAAGAGCCUCCCAGCCGAGAUGAGGAAGUUCACUCCCCAGUAUAGAGGUGUGGUGUCGGUGAGCUUCGAGGAAGAUGAGGAGGGAAAUCUGUGCCUCAUCGCCUACCCCCUGCAUAGUGAGCAGGGGGGCUUGGAGAACGUGGACCCCACGGCGGACCUGGAGCCCAAGCACAAGGUACUGAAGUGGACCAACAAGAAGCCAUCUGCCAUGAUGCUGGACAACGAAAACUAUGGCAAGGACAGGCCCAGGCACGGGCGCAAGGACGAAAAGAUCAAAACCCACAACCGUGAGGAGGAGCUUGAGCGGCUUCAGCAGGCCGACGUGCUUUACUAUAGCCUGGAGAAGAGCAAUGCCGUGCCACAGGUAAAGCACAAUCCCUGGAGCCUAAAGUGUCACCAGCAGCAUCUUCAGAGAAUGAAAGAGAAUGCCAAGCACCGCAACCAGUACAAAUUCAUCCUACUGGAGAACUUGACAUGGCGACACACAGUACCCUGUGUGCUGGACCUAAAGAUGGGCACACGUCAGCAUGGCGACGAUGCCUCGGAGGAGAAGAAGGCCACUCAGAUCCGCAAGUGUCAGCAGAGUACAUCGGCCACCAUAGGUGUCCGACUGUGUGGAAUGCAGGUGUACCAUUCUGCCUCUGGGCAGCUCAUGUUCAUGAACAAAUACCACGGACGCAAGCUGACACUGGCAGGCUUCAAGGAAGCGCUCUUCCAGUUUUUCCACAACGGCCGCCGGCUGCGACAUGAGCUGCUGUCCCCAGUGCUGCGGCGGCUACGGGAUAUGCAAGCGGCGCUGGAGGCCUGCGAGUCCUACCGCUUCUACUCCAGCUCGCUGCUCAUCAUCUAUGAUGGUGAGGCAACGCGCACUCGGCGCCCACGCCACAAUGGUAGCAAGGAGGACGACCUUUCAGAGGAGGAAGAGGAGGGUGGCGCAUUUGGGUUUCCCUGCAGUGGUGCAGCGGCAAGUGGGGGAACCUCCAUUACUGAAGGGAGCCCCGUGGUGGACGUCCGCAUGAUUGACUUUGCUCACACCACCUGUCGGCACUAUGGGGAGGACAGCGUGGUACACGAGGGCCAAGACAGCGGCUACAUUUUUGGUCUUCAGAACCUCAUCACCAUCAUCUCCCAGCUGGAGGAGAAUAGUGCCGACUAGGUCCGCUCUCACUCUGUGUUACUGGUCAAUAAACAAUAAUAAAGAUCCA